AACGCACAUUGCGCCCUUUGGUAUUCCGAAGGGCAUGCCUGUUCGAGCGUCAUUAUCACCCCCUCAAGCCUUGUGCUUGGUGUUGGACGGUAUGGUGGACCCCUCCACCCGUCCUAAAGACAAUGACGGCGGCCUCGCGGAACCCCCGGUACACUGAGCUUCUUAACUGAGCACGUAUCGGAUCAAGGGCGCCCGGGGCACGGUCCUCUUCCCCUCAAGGGAAAAUUUUCUCAAGGUUGACCUCGGAUCAGGUAGGAAUACGCGCUGAACUUAA
This 274-nucleotide unclassified non-coding RNA is filed under the name uncultured fungus. RNAcentral's name for it is "partial contains 5.8S ribosomal RNA, internal transcribed spacer 2, and large subunit ribosomal RNA". The stretch from base 1 to 52 matches the Rfam family "5.8S ribosomal RNA", at positions 103 to 154 of the family's 154-position model. Lineage: Eukaryota; Fungi. The record is from RNAcentral.